This is a long non-coding RNA of Ictalurus punctatus (channel catfish), 702 nucleotides long. The record is from Ensembl. NCBI's taxonomy places the organism in Eukaryota, Metazoa, Chordata, Actinopteri, Siluriformes, Ictaluridae.
GACCGACGUUCGCAGACGACCGAUCACGUCCGGUCUUGCUGUAAAAUUCCGAUCACUGUAUCAGGUCUAGACGACGAGUAAGGAAUGAAACGCGUGGGGACGUGCAGUCGUGGGAAAAUGAUCAACAGCGGGCCGGUUUGGAGACGCGGCGUCACUGUGACCACUCGGAACAGGAUCGUUCUCCUUUAACCGCACGUCCUGCUGUGUUUUAUUCCUUUUACACCGCAGCAGAUUGCAAUCCUUUAUUAAUUUAGACGAAACCCCAAACACACAGCUGAUCAUGUGACGGAGAAACCACAGAGCGGGAACUCCCCCGUCCUGGAGAUGUCGGAACGCUUUACCCCCGACCGUCGCAAAGCGCCGACACUGGAGGCUCCUUCUUCCGACAUCUCCUAACAACCGACAUGACCGCGUCACGCACGAUUACACACUUCGUAAUCGCAAGACGACACGUUUUUUUUCAGAACCCGUUUAUCGUCAGUCCCGCGCAAAAAUAGCGCGCACCUUCAGACGUCGGCUAGGACGACGGAGCUACGGCGAGCCUGCUGCAGAACGCGAUCGGUCGUCGCGGUGUAAUACGUUGGGGAUUUAUUUGAAGCGAGACUUUCUUUCAUGUCACUAUUCAGUGAUGUGAAGAACUGGUUGCUUGGAUGAAUGCCUGUAAGGGGUGUGUGUGUGUGUGUGUGUGUGUGUGUGUGUGUG